Long non-coding RNA from Lepidothrix coronata (blue-crowned manakin), 3249 nucleotides. RefSeq lists it as uncharacterized. Lineage: Eukaryota; Metazoa; Chordata; Aves; Passeriformes; Pipridae. The record is from RefSeq and is a predicted model, not a curated record. The transcript is spliced from 3 exons.
UUUGUUCUUUGAAAAUUGAAAGGAAUCAGAUAACAAAAUUAUAGAAAAUAGUUAACUGAAGUUUCACAUUGUCAUGUUAGAAACACAAAUAUUUGAAAUGUGAUGACAGAGAAGGUCACAGCCACACUAUUAAAUACAGCACCAUCGAAGGCGGAGUGAGAAAGACACUUGCUGCAGGAUACCCUCUAAGUGGGUGCAGCAUAGAAGGUGGUAUCUUCAGUCCCUAUCAGACACUGCUCUUGCCCUUCCUGCUAGCUGGGAGAAGUUGGACACUCACAGUGUUUGGAUACCUGGUGGAGAGAAAGUGCUGGAAGAGUCCACAGAGGAAAAGGGUACUAAAAUAUCUCAGCACUGCCAAUAUGCCAUUCAUCCUUACUUAAGACAGCUGUAAAACUGACUGAUGGGCUGCCUGAAUAAUAUUUCUGUACAAUUGUUUGUUCUUUAUUUGUCAUAAACUUUAUUAAAUCCUAAAGCUUUGAUCUUGGACAUGAUUUUUCUUCCAUUAACCUCAAAAAUAUCUCAGAAAGAUUAGUAAGCAUUAUUAUCUUUUAUACACAAAAAAAUCACAUACCAAGUUUAAGGAUGUACAGGUUCUGUUCAGGGCGAGAGAGAGAGAGGUGAGGAAGUUGCUUUUUGCAGUUACCGGAAAGCUGUUACUCCCCACCUGCAGGUGACCAUUAGCAUGGGAAGCAAAGGAUCACUUACUCUUUUUUCUGAGUUAACUUUAAAUCUAUCUUGGAGCAAAGAAACACACAACACUACGUAAUGAAAUGAAUUCUAAGUCACUGAAAACAUAUGUUACAAAGGUGCUAAACGUGACUGCAAAAAAAGCUUCAUCUGAGUUGUAUUUCUGUGUUCAGAUUCUUCUUCCAAAGAGUUAAUGAAGCUACACAGCUCCUUUAACCCUGCUGAGAGUCAUUGAUCUGAUCUGGCUAGCCUGCAGGUUCUCACAAAGGAGAUAGCUGGACAACAGCUGUAUUAUUAACAGCAGAGGACGGUUGGUUGCAGAAGAAAGGUGGAAGGUAGGAAUUUGAACUAUUUUCUACAAGGAAAGCUUUGCCAGAUUAUUUUCAACUGAUUCUAGCAAACCCCAGGGACACUGACUUGGAUGAGACAACUCAUGUGCGAUUCAGUAUCUUGUUCCAAGAAUGUAGCGUCAAUCCCCUGCUGGACACAGCCAAGUGGGUGAACAGUGAAGUCAUUAAAAAGGGAAAGAGCUUUGGAUAAUAAUAAAAAAAAAGACUCAGGUGAGUUCAAAAGAGUUGUAUCCUUCGUUGGUGUAGAUUUUCACCCUAUGGCACAGGGUGCUUCCUAGGAUGAGCAGCUGUAGAAUAAAGUCUUAGUGAAGAAUAAAACCUUAGUGGCAACAUCUAUCGUACUAUGUGAGCGGAGAAUAGCAGUUUCUGAAACCAUUAAAAAAUAACUGCAUGCCAGGACACUUUGCUAGAAGAAAUGCUAUGAUAAGACUGUGGCCCCGGCAUGGCUUCCCCUCAUCCUGCCCAUAGUCCAGGGCUCUGUGUCUGCCCCAGGGAACAUCAGGCCCUGCCCGAGCAAUGUUGUUUGAUUGUGCAAGAUAUUCAAGAAAUGUACUCAUCUUGCCUUCAGCUAAUAAACAUACCUGUUUGAGUGUUUAACAAGCACACCAGGCAAAAAAAUAGUAGCUUAUUAAUUUUGCAACAGUGGAUACUGAUAUUUAUGAAGUAGACAAAUUAUUGCUUUUUUUUCAUCUUUAAUAUGCAUGUCCUGUCUUAAAUUUAGAUAAAAUUACUGCGUGUCAUAUAGUUCAACCUGCUACUCAAAGCAGGGUUAGAUGAAAAUUGGAUCCAUCUGUGCUGGACCUUGUCUAGCUGAGUUUUGAAAGUUUCUAAGGUUGGAGAUUUCACAAUCCUUUUGAUGAUCUUAUUUCAGUGUUUAACCCUCUCAUUGUAAGAUUUCUUUUUUUAAAGUAAUGCAGUUUCAAAAUGUGAUGAUUUCAAAAGGUAAUGAAAAAGAAAACUGGAAAAAACCUGGGAAAAAAUUAUUAAUUAAAACAAGUAUUUCAAUUAUACAUUUUCUCACUGUUCAUUUUUGAAUGAAAGGAAAACCAAAAAAACACAAGAAUAAUAAACAAACCAAAUGCCCAAAUUAAAUAUUCUGGAUCAUUCUAACAGGUAUUUUAUUUGAUUGCAAAAAAAGUUUAUGUUUUUUUGCUGUAAGAAAAAAAAUAUUUAGCCAAAAUUAAAAACCAGUUAUUCAUGCAAUCAUCUAGACUAUUUUGAUUCUACUUAUAUAUUACUCAAAGAAAAAUUGUGUUGCCUUCUGUGUCCAAGAGUGUAUAUGUUCUGGGUUGAUUAAGAAUAUAUUCUUAUAUUUUUUUUUGUUAAUACUUUAACUUUGUAGUUCAGACUUAAAGAAUUGCUUAGUAGUCAGCAGAAGCAAUCAGUUUGUCAUAUUCACUUUACAGUUGUAAGAAACAGUAUUAGUAAAUCAGAGAAUUGGAAGACUUGCAAAUAAUGUCAAGAAAACUGCAGACGAUGUUCAAUAAGGGAAGGACUGCACAUAUGCUGAAAGACUAACAGAAUGCAAAAUGAUCAUGACAAACUGGAAAAAGUAGUCUUAAAAGACUGUGAUAUUUAACGAAGUAAAAUGGAAGAACCACUCCAACAAUCUACUUCAGUAGUACAGAAUGGAGAAUUGAAAAGCUGUCAGAAGUGAAAUAUUUUGGGAUUAUAAUGGCCAAUGAAAAGAAUUUUAGCACAGUAGUAUUGUGCUCCAGAGCUACAGGUGAACAGCCUGUAGCAUAUGAAGAGGGUCAUAGCCUACAUAACAUAAAAUCUUCCCUCCUCUUCAAAAUUCAGUUGAAGUGCUGUGCAAGUUUGAAGCUCUGCUCUUCAUGAAAGAUAUGGAGUAGUUGCUGAGUGGAAAAAAGAGAAUUCUGAGACAAGGCAUGGAUCUCUUCAGAAAGGAUACUGAUGAGAGGAAGUGAGCAAGGUGUUUUCCCCCUUAGAACUUAGACUUAGAACACACUUUAAUUACAAUACCUUCUAGGUUAGGCCUAGCAAAAAAAUAUUACCUAAAAUCUUACCUUCCUGGAAAGUGAUGCUAUUAUGGCAAGUUUUACCAGAUGACUUAUUAGAAUCUGUAAUAUCUCUUCAUCAUUAUAAACGGCAUUUUAUUAUUUUAAUUUCUGAAAUAAAAUCUGUUUUCAGAGUCUGUGUCCAGAUAUCAUUUUACUCUUAAGUGGCUAUGAGUACUUUGAUUAACAAUAUG